RNAcentral lists this long non-coding RNA (481 nucleotides) under Vulpes vulpes (red fox). RNAcentral describes it as "lncRNA (ENSVVUG00000020656.1)". The record is from RNAcentral. Lineage: Eukaryota; Metazoa; Chordata; Mammalia; Carnivora; Canidae.
CUGGUACUGGUUAUCACUGCACUUUAUUAAAUGGCAUCCCCAUUUCAAUUGAGAGUGAAGAGGUUCUUGGAUAAAGAACUUUAAAAAUCAGCCUAGAAGAUGGACUUUUGGCAAGCCAUAAUAGACUGCUCCUUUCCCAGGUAGAAACUCCCCAGAAUGAAAGUACAUGUACUCCAAACUGAACACACACUUGGGAGGGAUAGAGGAAUCCACUGGGCAACUAUAUCCCUGUUUGAGCACAGAGAAACUCCAAGAAAUGCAGACAGGGAUGGCAGCAGCCAGAGGCAUACCAUUUUUAGUUAUCCUCUACCUCUCCAGUCCAAGGAAGAACUGGUUGUUUCUUAUUGAUGACCUCCAUCUCACAGUUUCCCAGGCUGGUGCUAUGGAUACUUCAGUGAGUAACAAGGACUUAAAGGAACAAGGUCCAGAGAAGUUAAGCAACUUACCAUCAGCACCAAAGACUUCAUGCUUGCCACCAUAG